UGAGGAAUAUUGGUCAAUGGGCGCGAGCCUGAACCAGCCAAGUCGCGUGAGGGAUGACGGCCCUACGGGUUGUAAACCUCUUUUGUCGGGGAGCAAAUUCCGCCACGUGUGGCGGAGUCGAGAGUACCCGAAGAAAAAGCAUCGGCUAACCUCCGUGCC
This 159-nucleotide ribosomal RNA is filed under the name uncultured bacterium. RNAcentral's name for it is "partial 16S ribosomal RNA". It matches the Rfam family "Bacterial small subunit ribosomal RNA", at positions 355 to 509 of the family's 1533-position model. The record is from RNAcentral.